This 61-nucleotide transfer RNA is filed under the name Blattisocius keegani. RNAcentral's name for it is "tRNA-Leu". The record is from RNAcentral. Lineage: Eukaryota; Metazoa; Arthropoda; Arachnida; Mesostigmata; Blattisociidae.
ACUAUUAUGGCAGAUAAAUGCAAAGAAUUUAAAUUUCUUUUAUACAGAAAUGUUUAUAGUU